CUUGAUUCUAAUCUAUUUGUUCUUAUAAUACAGGUCAAUUCUUAUGAUUCUGUCCAUGUUGAUUCGUUAUACCGGUCCAAGUAUUUUUUGAUCUCAACGGCCACCCUUAAUGAAGAUGUUGAGGUGGCUUUACCAACCUCCAAAAUUGAUGAUGGGCAUUUGAGCCAAUGGUCAGAAAAUCCUGAUGAUGAUGGUGCUAACACACCAAAGGAUUCAAGCACAAACGCUGAUGAGGUGCACAAAGUCACUAUUCUAAAUCUUCCUGACGAGGCUUUCCAUAUCUCUAGUGAAUUGGGCCUGUAGUUAGGCCUAUAUUACCUUGGGUAAAUGGAGAUGGUACCAUCAACAAGAUUGUUUGCAAGGGACUUGUACGCUGUGUUCGUGGCAUUGUGAUGCAGAAUCCAGGGAUAUUAGAUGAUGAUGUCAUUAUCCGGAUGAACGUAUUGAAUCCUCAGGUAUGCUUUUUUACCUUGGAUUUACUCUAUUAUUAUUAUUAUUUUUAUUAUUUUCCUAGAUUGAUAUGGGUGACUGGUUGUACAUUUCUAUAUUAAUGACAAUGAACGGCAUCAUACAAUAUUUCCUAUUUCACACUAAUGGUGCCUCUUUAGUUAAUGUUCUAAAGCUUUUAUUAUUAUUAUUAUUAUUUAAUUUUUUUUUUUUUAAAGUUGUAGUGACUGCUUUCUAUUGUUAUCCAUCAUUUUGAUGCCCUAAGGUGCCUUAUAAUUGAAUUUAAUUCUCUUCCAAAGCUGCAAGAACCUCUUAAAAUUGAUGAUUAUAGAUAAUCAUAUCAUUGCACGGAAGAUGCAUCAGACUAUGUCCGGUGAUCCCCCUACCAUAUGGGUGGUCUUCUUGGGAUAAGUUUCAAAAAACAAACCUUGACUUGCCGAUAACAUUUCUUUGUGAAUCCAAUAUGUAUUACCUUAUUGUAGAAUACACAGCCUAUUGGCACAUACUUAUUGUUGUUGGGUUUUUUUUGGAGCUGUUUCACCAUGCUUUUGAGAAGAACACUAAUGUUUGUUAUGUCGGUUAUAUGUGGUUAAAGUGUUGAAGACAUGUUCUGUAAGAUUUAGCUAAUGUAUAUUAAUGAUUGUAACUAUAUCUUGUGUUUUUGUAUUGUGAAAUUAGGUAAGCAGUCUGUUUAUUAGUAUAUUUUGUGUUCUGGAAUGUAACUCUUACUUGAAUA
Non-coding RNA from Camellia sinensis, 1183 nucleotides. The record is from RefSeq and is a predicted model, not a curated record. NCBI's taxonomy places the organism in Eukaryota, Viridiplantae, Streptophyta, Magnoliopsida, Ericales, Theaceae.